Molecule: ribosomal RNA, 1263 nt
Filed under: metagenome
Description: bacterial LSU rRNA
Rfam family: Bacterial large subunit ribosomal RNA
Source: RNAcentral
GUACCAUAACCGACACAGGUGGGUAAGUAGAGUAUACUAAGGGGCGCGAGAUAACUCUCUCUAAGGAACUCGGCAAAAUAACUCCGUAACUUCGGGAGAAGGAGUGCCUUAUUCUUAAGGUUGCAAUAACAAGAUCCAAGCAACUGUUUAUCAAAAACACAGGUCUCCGCUAAGUCGUAAGACGAUGUAUGGGGGCUGACGCCUGCCCAGUGCCAGAAGGUUAAAGAAGUCGGUUAGCAAUAGCAAAGCUGGUAACUGAAGCCCUGGUGAACGGCGGCCGUAACUAUAACGGUCCUAAGGUAGCGAAAUUCCUUGUCGGGUAAGUUCCGACCCGCACGAAAGGCGUAAUGAUUUGGAUGCUGACUCGGAGAGGGGCUCGGUGAAAUAGACUUGUCUGUGAAGAUGCGGACUACCUGCACCAGGACAGAAAGACCCUAUGAAGCUUUACUGUAACUUGAAAUUGAAAUUGGACUUUAUUCGCGCAGUAUAGGUGGGAGGCGUUGAUUAUAAUCUUGUGGGAUUAUUGGAGCCAUCAGUGAGAUACCACUCUUGUAAUGUUAGAUUUCUAACUUUGAAUCAUUAUCUGGUCAAAGGACAGUUUCAGGCGGGCAGUUUGACUGGGGCGGUCGCCUCCUAAACGGUAACGGAGGCGUACAAAGGUUUCCUCUGAACGGUUAGAAAUCGUAUCUAGAGUGUAAAGGCAUAAGGAAGCUUGACUGUGAGACCUACAAGUCGAGCAGGGACGAAAGUCGGUCUUAGUGAUCUGACGGUACUGAGUGGAAAGGCCGUCACUCAACGGAUAAAAGUUACUCUAGGAUAACAGGCUGAUCUCCCCCAAGAGUUCACAUCGACGGGGAGGUUUGGCACCUCGAUGUCGACUCAUCGCAUCCUGGGGCGGUAGUACGUCCCAAGGGUUGGGCUGUUCGCCCAUGAAAGCGGUACGCGAGCUGGGUUCAGAACGUCGUGAGACAGUUCGGUCCAUAUCCGGUGUAGGCGCUAGAAUAUUGAGAGGAGCCUUCUUUAGUACGAGAGGACCGAGAAGGACAUACCUCUGGUGUACCAGUUAUCGUGCCAACGGUAAACGCUGGGUAGCUAUGUAUGGAGUGGAUAACCGCUGAAAGCAUCUAAGUGGGAAGCCCACCUCAAGAUAAGUAUUCUCAUCACGUAAGUGAGUAAGGUCACGGUAAGACUAACCGUUUGAUAGGCAUUAAGUGUAAGUACAGUAAUGUAUGUGCUGAGAUGUCCUAAUAGACCGAGGACUUG